This 82-nucleotide transfer RNA is filed under the name Juniperus cedrus. Its description in RNAcentral is "tRNA-Ile". The record is from RNAcentral. Lineage: Eukaryota; Viridiplantae; Streptophyta; Pinopsida; Cupressales; Cupressaceae.
GUGAUAUUGACAUUUUUUUUUAGAAAAUAGUUGCACCCAACUCAUAAUUGGGAAGUCGCGGGUUCAAUUCCUGCUGGAUGCA